UAACCCAUUUAACUUCUCAUUUCUCUCUCGCUUUCUCUCUCUCUGUCAGAUCGCACAGAGAAUGAAGUAACACUGGAAUGGAGUAAUGUGCACAACAUCAGCAGUUAUGUGUUGAGGAUUUACUACUAUUUACUCCACACUGUGUUUGCUCCGUCAAAGGUCUCUGGCCUUCACUGUGAGUAUUCAGGAAAUGUUGUAACUCUGGUUUGGGAUGCACCACAUGGAUUGUGGUCUGAAUUUGAGGUCCAGGUGAAUGAAGGAAUUCCAAAACAUGUAAAUAUUCCAAGAUAUCAGAUUGAUGAUGUGCUAUCAUCUGUGCAAUAUAAGAUCAGUGUUACAUCACUCUCUGGUAAAUUAAGAAGUGACCCAGUGUCAGUCGUGUGUCAAACCAACGCAUCAGGUAAUUGUUCAUGCUAUAAAAAAGUUUAUAAAGUUCUGUUUAUCAUUUAUCAUAAACAUAUGACCAUGUACAGUUGUUUGUGAACCUAUCUGUGAAUUCCAGGCUAAAGUCUCAUCAUUUAAUGUUGAAAUAGGAGCAUUAAAGUUUGAUUUCACUCACUGAUUUUAAUCUGUGACAUGAUCUUGCUCCGUCAAUAAAGAUAUCAAGGUUAUAUUUCACAGAAUGUUUUUUACAUUAUGAAAAAUUAUUUUAUGUAGAAAACAAAUAAAAAAAAUAUGACUUAAAGGGAUAGUUCGGCCAAAAAUGAUAUUAAACCCAUGAUUUACUCACCCCCAAGCUGUCCGAGUUGCAUAUGUCCAUCGUUUUUCAGACAAACACAUUUUCGGAUAUUUUAGAAAAUGUUUUAGAUCUUUCAGUUGAUUAAAUGUAAUGUUACGGGGUCCACGACCGUCAAGUCCAAAAAAGUGCGUCCAUCCUUCACAAAUUAAAUCCAAACGGCUCCAGGAUGAUAAACAAAGGUCUUCUGAGGGUAAUCCGCGCGGUGUUGUUGUAGAAAUAUCCAUAUUUAAAACUUUAUUAACGCAAAUAACUACCUUCCGGUAGCGCCGCCAUCUUAGUCGCGUUUUUGGUCGAACUAUCCCUUUAAGCUGGGUUUUCACAGACUGCAUCACAUUUAUUUCUUUAUCUCUUUUUUACCAAGGUGCAAUAGCAGGAAUCGUGUCUGCUGUUUUCUUUGUAAUCCUUCUACUUGUUGGUAUCGGAGUUUUCUGCAAAUGCAAAAAAAUUGACUUCAGACGGUUA
Molecule: long non-coding RNA, 1201 nt
Organism: Paramisgurnus dabryanus
Lineage: Eukaryota; Metazoa; Chordata; Actinopteri; Cypriniformes; Cobitidae
Source: RefSeq, a predicted model, not a curated record